ACAGGGUCUGACUGUGCAGGCAGAAGACAUUUUGCUCAUUUGCUCUGCUCUUUCCUUUAGCUACUCUCUGCUCUCAGGUGUCUGUACUUCUCGAUUUUCCCACCUGUAUGGGCAUUUUUUUUCUGGAAAAGUCCUGGGACAUAACAGCUCUUGUAGGCCCUGCUGAAAAGAGACUUGUCCAAUGACUGGAAGCUGUUCAACAAUAAAGCUACAAUGUCGUAGACUCCAAAAAAGAGCUGGAGAGUGCGGAGCUGCAGCCGGCUGCAUGGACGGAAGGAUGGAGGGAUGCGGCAGCUGACUGACUGGCUGCAGGGCUGGGGCUUCCAAACGUUUAGGGUUUCUGCACUGCACGGACUCCCCUUUAUUGCUGCCAAUCAAACUGCUGGGAAGACAACACCCCGAGUUGCUGCCACGAAACUGGAGAGAAAAACGCACAACUUCAUCAGGGGCUGCAGUAUUACACCUAGAUGUGACUAGACAUACCAGAACUGAUGCAAAAUCACAAUGGAUCCCAGCGACAGUCACUGGAGAAGAGGAUUUGUAAGAUUUGCUCAUAGAAGCAUUCUGUAUAGAUUUUGAAGAAGAACCCAUCCCUGGCUGUAAUCUACAUCCUGUUCUGUGACUAGAUGACAAGGGGAUCUGUUACCUGAUGACCACCCAAGGGUCACCUUCCUCUCCAACUUCCGGAGCCCUCCGCAGGCACUACGUUUACUGGACAAUGCUCACAAUGUUUGCUGACAAUUUUCAUAGCACAGAGUACACAUUGCUCUGUUAUUUAAUACAAAAAAGAUCAAUAUCAUCAAAUCUACCAAAGCAUUUUUUAUUGAAACACAGAAUAAAUGGUUAGAUUGCAAAGAACAAAUUAAACCAGGCUGAUAAAUUUAACAUAAAUAUAGAAAUGUGAAAUGUUUCCUAUAAAAUCACAGGCACAGUUCAUGUGUAGUGUAAAGAGGCAGCAAUGCUAUAAAACAUACAUAGGUAUUACACACUCCUAGAAUGUACAAAUUAUCACCAGAAACCUCUCAUUUCUUAAAGAAAGGUUAAGUCUUUUUCUUAGGUUUUGACCCCUUUUGUGUAUCCCCCUGUCACUGCUGAUGGGUAUUACUAAUAUGUAGUGAAUGCUAGCACCUUUGUAUUCUGCUCCCUGCUUUGGAUUACUUUCCGUAUAAUUACCUAGGACCCCAUGCUAGGAGAACGUGCAGCUAUAGGUUGUGGCAAUUUGGGGGCCCCAGUGGCUGCACUAUACUUAAGGCAAGUUCGCACGCUGAUCAGGUAACAGCAGAACAACAGGCCUAUUGGAGUGGGGUGGUUAUCUCUGCUCUCUGCAGAUCACAGCCUUGGCACUCCCGGCUUGUCAUUGUGUCCUCUCACAGAAAUGACAUCUUUUUACACUCACAGGAUCAGGCCACGACUAAGGUUUCAUGUGCCAAAGCAGGUAAUAUUAUACACAGUUUAUUUGAGAUAGAAUAUAUAUAUAUAUAUAUAUAUAUAUAUAUA
Hyla sarda is the source of this 1497-nucleotide long non-coding RNA. RefSeq lists it as uncharacterized. Lineage: Eukaryota; Metazoa; Chordata; Amphibia; Anura; Hylidae. The record is from RefSeq and is a predicted model, not a curated record. The transcript has 5 exons.